UACGUAGGGGGCAAGCGUUGUCCGGAUUUAUUGGGCGUAAAGAGCGUGUAGGCGGCUGGGUAGGUCCGCUGUGAAAACUCGAGGCUUAACCUCGAGACGUCGGUGGAAACCAUCCAGCUAGAGUCCGGAAGAGGAGAGUGGAAUUCCUGGUGUAGCGGUGAAAUGCGCAGAUAUCAGGAAGAACACCCGUGGCGAAAGCGGCUCUCUGGGACGGUACUGACGCUGAGACGCGAAAGCGUGGGGAGCGAACAGG
RNAcentral lists this ribosomal RNA (253 nucleotides) under uncultured bacterium. Its description in RNAcentral is "partial 16S ribosomal RNA". It matches the Rfam family "Bacterial small subunit ribosomal RNA", at positions 524 to 776 of the family's 1533-position model. The record is from RNAcentral.